RNAcentral lists this ribosomal RNA (417 nucleotides) under uncultured Bifidobacterium sp. RNAcentral describes it as "bacterial SSU rRNA". It matches the Rfam family "Bacterial small subunit ribosomal RNA", at positions 214 to 639 of the family's 1533-position model. Lineage: Bacteria; Bacillati; Actinomycetota; Actinomycetes; Bifidobacteriales; Bifidobacteriaceae. The record is from RNAcentral.
AUCGGUAUGGGAUGGGGUCGCGUCCUAUCAGCUUGAUGGCGGGGUAACGGCCCACCAUGGCUUCGACGGGUAGCCGGCCUGAGAGGGCGACCGGCCACAUUGGGACUGAGAUACGGCCCAGACUCCUACGGGAGGCAGCAGUGGGGAAUAUUGCACAAUGGGCGCAAGCCUGAUGCAGCGACGCCGCGUGCGGGAUGACGGCCUUCGGGUUGUAAACCGCUUUUGACUGGGAGCAAGCCCUUCGGGGUGAGUGUACCUUUCGAAUAAGCACCGGCUAACUACGUGCCAGCAGCCGCGGUAAUACGUAGGGUGCAAGCGUUAUCCGGAAUUAUUGGGCGUAAAGGGCUCGUAGGCGGUUCGUCGCGUCCGGUGUGAAAGUCCAUCGCUUAACGGUGGAUCCGCGCCGGGUACGGGCGG